Molecule: long non-coding RNA, 1988 nt
Organism: Dermochelys coriacea (leatherback sea turtle)
Lineage: Eukaryota; Metazoa; Chordata; Testudines; Dermochelyidae
Exons: 2
Source: RefSeq, a predicted model, not a curated record
CUUUAUUUGCAAAAAGAAAAGGAGUACUUGUGGCACCUUAGACUAACAAUUUAUUUGAACAUAAGCUUUCGUGAGCUACAGCUCACUUCAUCGGAUGCAUGCCACAAGUCCUCCUUUUCUUAUAUCUUAACACGCUUUUUUGCAGAUGAGACCAAGUACUUCCAGGAUCAGUAAACUUUUUUUUCAAACAACUUUUUUUUUUUUCUCCCUGAACCAACUAGCAGAAAGAAUUUUGAUCUCUAGUUAAUUAUAUUGUGAAAACCUGGUGUGUAUUACAAAUCCAAUUUUGUAAUGUUUUGAAAAGGAAGCCUUAAAUUGUACUACAGGUUGAUGUGCUAGGCUAUUUUUUGGGGGUGGGGAGAUCCGUGGUGCAUUUUAAUUAGUAGUUAAGUUCACUGCUAACAAAACUAAAUAACUUUUCACAAGUAAGAGAUUGAAAGGAGAGAGAAUAACAGAUUUAGGUUAUGCAUAUCUGAAUCCUUUUUUGUCACUACAAAAUGUAGUUCUAAUAUGCGGUUCUUCCUUGUAAUAUUUUUAUUUUUAUAUGUAUAAGCAACUAGUUUGAGUUAAUAAAACAUUAAAAUAGAAUAGAAUAUUGAUUUACUCUCCUAGGUUGGGCUCCUGUAUUGCUAGUAUCAUAGACAGUGUGACUCGUUAGUAAGACGGCUGUCAGCAGCAGUAGAACCAGAAAAGUCAAUUUUAAUAUUUAAAACUGUCUUCCGGAGUUCAUAUCAACAUUGGUUCAGGGAUAAGUGAAUUCUUCUGAACCUUCAGAAUGUUGCAACGUACAUUAUGGAUACAGUUUCCUCUUUCAAACAAUGUCUGCAUUUCUCAAUUACCCCUGCUGCAAUAAAAUAGUUUGAUAGCCUUGAAUAGUGCUCCUGAGUCCGUCCCUUUUCACUGCCUUUCCUUAUAACAUUUUAGGUAUGUCUACACUGUAGUGUAAGUGCAGGCUCAAGUCUAACCCCACACCUUCAUCUACACCCAUUGCGCUAACCCAGGGCUAAGACCUAGGGCUUCAGGGAACAAGCCUAAAUCACACUGGGACUCAGGGUUCGAGCCCAAUUGCUUUGUGGCCUCACUUAACUCUUGUUCUGGGUGUCUGCCAGAAGUAUCCCACAAUCCCAUGGGUUUAAAUGGUUGCAAUGGAGGCCCAACAGAACAAGCCUUUUGCAAAAGGUGCAGCAAACCUGGAGGAGAUGGAAGCCGCACCUGAGCCCGGCCUCAUGACCUCCACUGGCUGUUGUAUGUCCUGAACUUGACUCCUGCCCCAACAUACCUACACAGACCAUUCCAAGCAGAAGCAUUUCCAUGAUGAAAUUAUGGUCGAGGCUCUUUAGAGGGUAGACAAGCAGGUCCAGUACCAGCAGCAAAGGGAUGUAAGACUGGAGCAACAGCAUGCUGAGAGGCAGAAAAAAAGGCUUAGGCUUGCCACACUGCUGGAAGAAAGGGCUUCAGCAAGGGAGCAGGCACUUUCAUGUAGUUCCUGGAACAAAACCAGCAGCUAAGGGAGGAGGAAAGAGCUCCAUAGUGAACUGUUGCAGAGCCCAUCUCCAACAUGUCUGGAAGAGCAUCGGCUGUGUUGCCUCUCACACACCCCUGCAAUGUAUCCUCAGACCAGAAUUAGCUUGGGCAACUCAGUGUUGGGGUGGCCCAUGCAUUUAAGCUCCCUGAGUGGCUGGGCAGGGCUACUAAACCCCACGCAACCUUCAUUCACGAACCCAUCUCCUGUGGCUAUCUUCAUCCCUGUUCUCUCGGUGCCAAGUGCAUGGAAAACCAAAGAAAGAAGGGAAGGAGAAUGUACGGCCAGGGGACACGCAGCGAUAGGGUGUUUGUGUCAUGUUUCCUGCCCUUAUUUUUCUUUGGAAAUGUUCUUCUGUUACUUGUUUUGGGGAAUUGUACUGGCGGCUGCCUUGCCUAGCAAUGGAUGUCUAUUGUACUGUGUUAACACAUUUAUAAAUAAAGCCUUUAAUAUCGUCAAGAAAGUU